This is a long non-coding RNA of Melitaea cinxia (Glanville fritillary), 478 nucleotides long. RefSeq lists it as uncharacterized. The record is from RefSeq and is a predicted model, not a curated record. The transcript has 3 exons. Lineage: Eukaryota; Metazoa; Arthropoda; Insecta; Lepidoptera; Nymphalidae.
UUUAGUACUAUAAGCCUACUGUGGUUGCGCGAUGGUUAGAAUACGAUCGCCGCUGUAUUUCAAUCAAUUUAAGCAAAAUUGAAUUUAUUUCAGUCGCAGCCAAAAAAGAAACGCACAUACUUCUUCGAUAACUUUAUUAAGUCUGAUUCAUAGAGUAAAGACAUUUUGACUCUGGCACUUUCCUGUAGUUGCCAUAAAAUAAAAAAAAAAUAAUACAAUUUAUUGUCUAUUAAAUCACAUCCUCCACAGCCAAAAAAAGGAUGAUUAUCUAACAACUUUAAUCACAUCUUGACAUGUAAAUAACAUCAAAUAAAACAAAGAAUCAUGAAACAAAUUAAAAUACAAUUUGCGAAGUAUUGUAGCUUAGAAAAAAAACAAACAAAUUACUCGUGUUACUUGCACUUGAAACAUACUCAAACAUUAAACAGAUAUCAAGUGCAAGAUGCAUAAAAAAUUAAUCUAAAAAUAUUCAAGAAUA